GAUGAAGAACGCAGCGAAAUGCGAUAAGUAAUGUGAAUUGCAGAUUUCAGUGAAUCAUCGAAUCUUUGAACGCACCUUGCGCCUUGUGGUAUUCCACAAGGCAUGCCCGUUUGAGUAUCAUUAAAUCAUCAACUCUAAAACCUUUGUGGUUUUUUUAGAGCUUGGUCUUGAGGGUUUUGCAGGCUUUUUUUUUUCGAGUCUGCUCCCUUUAAAUGCAUUAGCGAGACUUCCCUAUGCUGAACCGUCUGUUUGACGUGAUAAUUAUCUGCGUCGAAUUUUGGUUCUCGUUGGGCUUGCUUCUAAUCGUCUGUUAAAGACAAAACGGAUUUGGGUGCAUAUAUGCGCCUUUUUCCAAAACCUUUUUUGAUCUCAAAUCGGGUAGGACUACCCGCUGAACUUAAGCAUAUCAAUAAGCGGAGGA
This 421-nucleotide unclassified non-coding RNA is filed under the name soil metagenome. RNAcentral's name for it is "partial contains 5.8S ribosomal RNA, internal transcribed spacer 2, and large subunit ribosomal RNA". The stretch from base 1 to 120 matches the Rfam family "5.8S ribosomal RNA", at positions 35 to 154 of the family's 154-position model. The record is from RNAcentral.